AAAACUUUCAACAACGGAUCUCUUGGUUCUGGCAUCGAUGAAGAACGCAGCGAAAUGCGAUAAAUAAUGUGAAUUGCAGAAUUCAGUGAACCAUCGAAUCUUUGAACGCACAUUGCGCCC
Molecule: ribosomal RNA, 120 nt
Filed under: Protoblastenia rupestris
Lineage: Eukaryota; Fungi; Ascomycota; Lecanoromycetes; Lecanorales; Psoraceae
Description: 5.8S ribosomal RNA
Rfam family: 5.8S ribosomal RNA
About the family: 5.8S ribosomal RNA (5.8S rRNA) is a component of the large subunit of the eukaryotic ribosome. It is transcribed by RNA polymerase I as part of the 45S precursor that also contains 18S and 28S rRNA. Functionally, it is thought that 5.8S rRNA may be involved in ribosome translocation.
Source: RNAcentral